AGAGUUUGAUCAUGGCUCAGGACGAACGCUGACGGUGUGCUUUAGGCAUGCAAGUCGAACGAGAAAGCCCUUCGGGGUGAGUAGAGUGGCGAACGGGUGAGUAACACGUGGGCAACCUGCCCCUCGCAGGGGGAUAACCGGGGGAAACCCCGGCUAAUACCCCGUACGCUUGUGGAGUCGCAUGGCUCCGCAAGGAAAGGUAGCUUCGGCCAUCCGGCGAGGGAUGAGCCCCGCGGUACAUUAGCUAGUUGGUGGGGUAACGGCCUACCAAGGCGACGAUGUAUAGCUGGUCUGAGAGGAUGAUCAGCCACACUGGGACUGAGACACGGGCCCGACUCCUACGGGAGGCAGCAGUAAGGAAUUUUGGGCAAUGGGCGAAAGCCUGACCCAGCAACGCCGCGUGAAGGAUGAAGUUUUUCGGAAUGUAAACUUCACAAGAAUGGGAAGAAUAAGGAAGGGUUAAUACCCCUUUCGAUGACGGUACCAUUUGUAAGCUCCGGCUAACUCCGUGCCAGCAGCCGCGGUAAUACGGGGGGAGCAAGCGUUGUUCGGAUUUACUGGGCGUAAAGGGCGCGUAGGCGGCGCAACAAGUCACUUGUGAAAUCUCCGGGCUUAACUCGGAGCGGUCAAGUGAUACUGUCGUGCUAGAGUGCGGAAGGGGCAACUGGAAUUCUCGGUGUAGCGGUGAAAUGCGUAGAUAUCGAGAGGAACACCUGCGGCGAAGGCGGGUUGCUGGGCCGACACUGACGCUGAGGCGCGAAAGCCAGGGGAGCGAACGGGAUUAGAUACCCCGGUAGUCC
RNAcentral lists this ribosomal RNA (800 nucleotides) under uncultured bacterium. RNAcentral's name for it is "bacterial SSU rRNA". It matches the Rfam family "Bacterial small subunit ribosomal RNA", at positions 8 to 796 of the family's 1533-position model. The record is from RNAcentral.